This 421-nucleotide ribosomal RNA is filed under the name uncultured bacterium. RNAcentral's name for it is "bacterial SSU rRNA". It matches the Rfam family "Bacterial small subunit ribosomal RNA", at positions 355 to 774 of the family's 1533-position model. The record is from RNAcentral.
UAAGGAAUAUUGGUCAAUGGACGCAAGUCUGAACCAGCCAUGCCGCGUGAAGGAUGAAGGUCCUCUGGAUUGUAAACUUCUUUUAUCUGGGACGAAAACGGGAUUUUUAUCUCAAUUGACGGUACCAGAGGAAUAAGCACCGGCUAACUCCGUGCCAGCAGCCGCGGUAAUACGGAGGGUGCAAGCGUUAUCCGGAUUCACUGGGUUUAAAGGGUGCGUAGGUGGGCAGAUAAGUCAGUGGUGAAAUCUUCCGGCUUAACCGGGAAACUGCCGUUGAUACUAUUUGUCUUGAAUAUUGCGGAGGUAAGCGGAAUAUGUCAUGUAGCGGUGAAAUGCUUAGAUAUGACAUAGAACACCAAUUGCGAAGGCAGCUUACUACACAAUCAUUGACACUGAGGCACGAAAGCGUGGGUAGCGAACA